Molecule: ribosomal RNA, 490 nt
Filed under: uncultured bacterium
Lineage: Bacteria
Description: partial 16S ribosomal RNA
Rfam family: Bacterial small subunit ribosomal RNA
Source: RNAcentral
AUUGAACGCUGGCGGCAGGCCUAACACAUGCAAGUCGAACGGUAACAGGAAACAGCUUUCUGUUUCGCUGACGAGUGGCGGACGGGUGAGUAAUGUCUGGGAAACUGCCUGAUGGAGGGGGAUAACUACUGGAAACGGUAGCUAAUACCGCAUAACGUCGCAAGACCAAAGAGGGGGACCUUCUGGCCUCUUGCCAUCGGAUGUGCCCAGAUGGGAUUUGCUAGUAGGUGGGGUAACGGCUCACCUAGGCGACGAUCCCUAGCUGGUCUGAGAGGGUGACCAGCCACACUGGAACUGAGACACGGUCCAGACUCCUACGGGAGGCAGCAGUGGGGAAUAUUGCACAAUGGGCGCAAGCCUGAUGCAGCCAUGCCGCGUGUAUGAAGAAGGCCUUCGGGUUGUAAAGUACUUUCAGCGGGGAGGAAAGGAGUAAAGUUAAUACCUUUACUCAUUGACGUUACCCGCAGAAGAAGCACCGGCUAACUCCGUG